UACAUGGGGUGCAAACGUUGCUCGGAAUUAUUGGGCGUAAAGCGCACGUAGGUGGUCGCUUAAGUCGGAUGUGAAAGCCCUCGGCUCAACUGAGGAAGUGCAUCCGAAACUGAGUGGCUAGAGUAUGGAAGAGGGUCGCGGAAUUCCCGGUGUAGAGGUGAAAUUCGUAGAUAUUGGGAAGAACACCGGUGGCGAAGGCGGCGCUCUGGACCGAGACUGACGCUGAGGCGCGAAGGCGUGGGGAGCAAACAGG
This 253-nucleotide ribosomal RNA is filed under the name uncultured bacterium. Its description in RNAcentral is "partial 16S ribosomal RNA". It matches the Rfam family "Bacterial small subunit ribosomal RNA", at positions 524 to 776 of the family's 1533-position model. The record is from RNAcentral.